AGGAAGGCGGGGAUGACGUCAAAUCAGCACGGCCCUUACGUCCGGGGCUACACACGUGUUACAAUGGCCGGCACAGAGUGUCGGUGCGGCGCGAGCCGCAUCUAAUCUUGAAAACCGGUCUCAGUUCGGACUGGGGUCUGCAACCCGACCCCACGAAGCUGGAUUCGCUAGUAAUCGCGCAUCAGCCACGGCGCGGUGAAUACGUUCCCGGGCCUUGUACACACCGCCCGUCAAGCCAUGAAAGCCGGGGGUGCCUGAAGUCCGUGACCGCGAGGAUCGGCCUAGGGCAAAACUGGUGAUUGGGGCUAAGUCGUAACAAGGUAGCCGUACCGGAAGGUGCGGCUGGAACACCUCCUUU
RNAcentral lists this ribosomal RNA (358 nucleotides) under Prevotella denticola. RNAcentral's name for it is "bacterial SSU rRNA". It matches the Rfam family "Bacterial small subunit ribosomal RNA", at positions 1167 to 1533 of the family's 1533-position model. Lineage: Bacteria; Pseudomonadati; Bacteroidota; Bacteroidia; Bacteroidales; Prevotellaceae. The record is from RNAcentral.